Molecule: ribosomal RNA, 301 nt
Filed under: uncultured bacterium
Lineage: Bacteria
Description: bacterial SSU rRNA
Rfam family: Bacterial small subunit ribosomal RNA
Source: RNAcentral
GUUCCUACGGGGGGCAGCAGUGAGGAAUAUUGGUCAAUGGGCGGGAGCCUGAACCAGCCAAGUCGCGUGAGGGACGACGGUCCUAUGGAUUGUAAACCUCUUUUGUCGGGGAACAAAGGCGUCCACGGGUGGGCGGAUGAGUGUACCCGAAGAAAAAGCAUCGGCUAACUCCGUGCCAGCAGCCGCGGUACUACGGAAGGUCCGGGCGUUAUCCGGAUUUAUUGGGUUUAAAGGGAGCGUAGGCGGGCCGUUAAGUCAGUUGUGAAAGUUCGGGACUCAACCCCGGAAUUGCAGUUGAAAC